Long non-coding RNA from Carlito syrichta (Philippine tarsier), 1900 nucleotides. RefSeq lists it as uncharacterized. The transcript is spliced from 6 exons. NCBI's taxonomy places the organism in Eukaryota, Metazoa, Chordata, Mammalia, Primates, Tarsiidae. The record is from RefSeq and is a predicted model, not a curated record.
CUGCUCAGAAUGACUGCAUGGCUUGCAUCGUCAUAAAGGAGUGCAUGACCUCAUUUGGUUGUCAUGACCAAUGGUUUACCAGUCACCGAGAGUCAUCAUUCAAGGAGGUGUUCUUGGUCUGUGAGGCAAGCUGGACCUUCAGCAAUGAGUGCAGUUAUUCUCACAUGCAUGCUUGAAAAAGAAAAGAAGGCUCCUUGAGUUUCUCUUGGCAUGCUGUUCUAGGAGCCCCAUGUUUCAUUUUCAAAUGGAGAAUGAAUAUUCACUUGGCCUGCUCUCAGGAAAGAGAUAAUCAUACUGCUUUAAAAAAUAAUCAGUGUAUCUGUGACUUAUGAUGUGAAGGCCAUGUCCUCUGCUGGGUUUCUUCUUGAAACAUCGAGAGGUUUGAAUAGUGGCACAGAGUGAAGAAAAUCUACUGGUCUACUGAGGUGAGGAGGCACACAACUCAAAAAUUACUGGCCUACUUUUUUAGUACCACCACCUCAUUCAGAACUCAAGAUAUGAGAACACACAGUUUAAAUCCCUGGCAAAAUGCCCCAUAGCCAAGCUUUGCCACGCAAAUCCAUCUUUGAGAAGGAGGAACUCUUUAUCACCUGAGAUACUAAGGGAGGCAUGUCCAAGUUGAAUCAAAAGUACCCUGUCUGGACGUGACUCCAUUCAUGGAAGAACUUCUGUCUCAGCCUACUGGAUGAAUUCCCCAUGAGUAGGAUGUAUUUGGAAGAAAGGUCUGUGGGAAAUGACCUCCCAGUUGAAGUAUCAGUUUCCUUUUUGACACGUAUUUUGGACCCCUCUUCUGCCAGAAAUUGGCUUGGAAAUAAGUUGCUAUCUGAAAAACAAAUGGCUGUAAUAAUGUGGAUGGCCAGGGAUACUCUGGAAUUGAAAUAUUCUCCCAAAUGCUGUUCCUGGUUGACCUGUGGAUGUAUUUGGAAGAACGGUCUGUGGCAAGUGGUCUCCCAGUGGAAGUAUCAGUUUUCAUUUGGACACACCAUUUUUGACUCCUCUUCUGCCAGAAACUGGCCUGGAAAUAAGCAGCUAUCCCAAAAACAAAGGGCUGUAAUAAGAUGAAUUCACAUGGAUCUUCUGGAAUUGAAAUAUUCUACCAAGUGCUGAUCCUGCUUGACUUGUGGAUGUAUUUGGAAGAAAGGUCUGUGGGAAGAGGCCUCCCAGUGGAAGUACCAGUUUCCAUUUGGACACACCAUUUUUGACUCCUCUUUUGUCAGAAACUGGCCUGGAAAUAAGCUGCUAUCCCAAAAACAAAGGGUUGUAACAAGAUGGAUGGCCAUGAAUACUCUGGAAUUGAAAUAAUCUCCCAAGUACUAUUCCUGCUUGACUUGUGAAACUGUCCUGGAAAUUAGCUGCUAUCCAAAAACAAAUGGCUGUAAUGAUGUAAAUGGCCACGGAUACUCUGGAAUUGAAAUAUUCUCCCAAACGCUGUUCCUGGUUGACCUGUGGGUAAAAUUCUGCUCAGAACGGCUGCAUCGCAUUCACCAUUGUACAAGAGUGCAUGGCUUCCACUGGUUGUCAUCACCAAUGGCUUAUCAGUCACUGAGGGUCAUCAUUCAAAGAGGUGUUCUUGGUUUGGGACGCAUGAUGGACCUUCAGCAACACAUGCAGUUUUCUCUCAAGUCAUGGGUGAAGUGGGAGUAAAAGCAACUUUAGUUUCUCUUGGCAUACUGUUCUAGGAGCCCCAUGCUUUUUUUUCAAAGAGAGGGUUAAUACAAUUUUGUCCUGCUCUAAGAAGAUAGAGAUUCAUGCUUGUUUAAUAAUGAUCAAUGUAUUUGUGGAUCAUGAUGUGAAUGGACAUGUCCUCUGCUGGGUCCCUUCGGAAACCUUUGAGAGGUUUGAAUGGUGGCAUAGAAUAAAGAGAAUCCACUGGUCUUUUGAUGUGAGGGGGCACACAACU